Molecule: ribosomal RNA, 360 nt
Filed under: uncultured bacterium
Lineage: Bacteria
Description: bacterial SSU rRNA
Rfam family: Bacterial small subunit ribosomal RNA
Source: RNAcentral
CGUGCCAGCAGCCGCGGUAAUACGUAGGGUGCGAGCGUUAAUUGGAAUUACUGGGCGUAAAGCGUGCGCAGGCGGUUCGCCAAGUCAGGUGUGAAAUCCCCGGGGUUAACCUGGGAAUUGCGCUUGAAACUAGCGGGCUUGAGUGUGGCAGAGGGGGGUGGAAUUCCCCGUGUAGCGGUGAAAUGCGUAGAGAUUUGGAGGAACACCGAUGGCGAAGGCGGCCCCCUGGGUCGACACUGACGCUCAGGCACGAAAGCGUGGGGAGCAAACAGGAUUAGAUACCCCGGUAGUCCACGCCCUAAACGAUGUGGACUAGGUGUUGGGGAAGGUGACCUCCUUAGUACCGCAGCUAACGCGUAA